AAGUACACUUCAACUGUGAGAGACAGAAUCUAAAACAAACAUCCACAUGGUUAAGACCAAACCAGACAUUGUCAAAUCUUAGUGGAAGACUGGACACUCCAAUUUACAGUCCUGUACACAGGAAUGGUUAUCAACGCCACUGCCCUUGGACUAAAACAAAGCAACAACAUACUGCCUCCAUGUUGGAUUGAAGUUCACAGGGAGGUCUGAAGGUGAUAUGGACAGAUGUGUUCCAGAUGCUCAUCAGGUGUUAAUUUCGGACCCUGCUUCCAUACCUGUUGAUGGAUAUUCUGGCUGCUUAUCCCGGAAUUCCUGGGAUGUUUGCAGGGUUGGGUUAUGACCAGUGCCUUUGGAAAGGGUUUCUAAACCAUUGCUUUCUACUUCAAUGAUUGGGUUCCAUCUCUACAUUACAUGCCAAAGUUUGUGACUUCCAGUCUAGCCCGAAGGUUGUAGCCAGACACCUCCUGCUCAUCUGUGCCAUCCUCUGGAUUGUCACCCUCUUCCUCAUGCUGAGGAUGGUCCUCCACCUCCAAGAUGUCAUCCUUAGAGAGACAAAGGUUGUGGAGAAUGUAGCAAGCCGCCACCACCUUGGGCACAUACCAAGGACACACUUCCAGAGCCCUCAGUAAGAUGGAUCUCCAGUGGGUUUUCAGCAUGCCAAACGUGUGCUCGAUUACGCACCUUGCCUUGGUGUGGUGGCCGUUGAACUGGGCCUCAUGGUGUAGAAAUCAUAUACAGUUACAUUAUUUGGUAGUGUUAUUUAAGACCACUACCAAGAUCUGUUUUCAUCAUAUAUAAGUCUGUCUUUAUUCAGUGUUGAAAACAAAGAGUACUUGGUAGUGAACUCAGACUUCUGGAGCCCACUGUGUGUUUGUGUGUGUUGGCAACCUUGGAUUUCAGUCCAGUAAAUAUCCGAACCAGCUACAGGGUGUUGAAACGGGGUGAUGACAGCCACAGGAUGCUGCAGGCAUGGAUAUCCACCAACUUCAGAAAAUAAUUCUGUUUGAUUUUGUUCAAUAAAGUGUUUUAGACCAUUAUUCCACAUGGUGUUGUUUAUAAAUGUUCAUAACUGAAUUGUAAACACCAUAACUCGUUGUGAAGUGGUUGAUUGCCAUUGCUAUACUGUGUAAUUUGUGGUCCAAGAUGAUUUCGACCUUUUAAAACUGUUUUGAUUCAGCCUAUGGAAUUGGAAACAAGCAGUUGCCAAUAGGAAACUCCAUUAAACCAUACUUCAGAUGGUUGGGCUUUCCAUUAAAGUUUUCAACUUAAGUAAAAUGGUUUGGUUACUGUUCCAUCACAUUGAGAAAGACUAGUGCCAACAUGAUGUAGCCUUGCCAUCCUCUGUCUCAUUCUGGCCCUCUGGAUCGGGUGCCUUUGCUCAGCGUCCUCCUAUAUAUAUAUACAUAUAUCUCUAACGGUUGUCUUGACAAUCUUUUACCAGCUGCUUUUUAACGCUGGUAGCUCGUUAGUGUGCUUGUGAAAUUCACGAGGUACCAGCGGGAAAAGGCUGAGGUAAAAUAUAGGCUAAAUAGGGAUUAGGUAGACAAAUAUAUCUAUAUAUAGAGGUACAGACACAGGAGCAUCAUAACACUUUUUACGUUAAAUAGCAUUUUAGUUAGGGUGACCACAUUUUCAAACUCCCAAACCGGGACCCUAGUGUAACCGCACGUUAACGCGCACAUGUAUGCGCUUACGCACGCAUGGUCAUCAUGCGUGAUUUUGGUUGGUGGAGCAGGGGACGCUUUGAUGAGAAUUGUUGCAUUGCUACGCAGUACUACCCAGUUGUUUGCUUGGCUUCGACUCCUAUGUGGAAACAUUACAAAAUUGUGGGGAACUUAUUGUGGUAGUGAAUAUUGGAAACCGGGGCAUUUUAGUGUUUUACAGAUAUUUGUCAUGAACAGGUGUUACGAAGAAUUCAGUGACCGUGCGAAUUCUGUGUGCCUGUCGAAAGUGCGCAUAUCGAAUAUUUAUUUCUGUCAGGGGGAGCGUGUGAUAUCUCGUGCACUUGUUGCUCCUCCUCGCACCCUACAUUGUCUUCCUUCUAAAAGGCGUCUGUUAACCUAAGCUUGUUUGCGCUGCAAUAUUAACCUUGUGAUCUUUGCGAUUCUGCAUCCAUAGAUACGUUUUUUUUAAAACAGCAGCAGAAAGCAAGUAUAUUGUGUUGUUUAACAUAUGGGUGUAGUACUGUAUUGUUGCAAUGACAAAUGCCAUGUUUGCGUUAGCUAGCACAGCCAGUCAAAGUAACUGUGAUAUAGUUUGCCAAUUCAAUGUGUUGGACUUCUCUCAAUAUUAACAAGCUACCCAUACGGAAAAUGUAUGUAUUUAAAAUAUAUUAUUUUUAUACAUUUAAUAAAUGUAUGUCAAGGUGUUCCAAUUGGAUUCCUUAAAUAUAUUUAGAAAACAUUUAUUACUAUACGAACCCGCAAAUUACCGCUAUCCUGUCGGGCGCCCUAAAUACUGCUCCAAACAAGUUAGUAGUGGUUUUACCAAGGUCGCUGCAGUACAUAAGAAUAUCUUGCUGACUGUAAGAUGAAACGCAUUUUGUAAAUGAAUUGCUAAGAUGUAUUUAAACAGCUAAAAGUGAUGUUAUCAAUAUGUCAGUAAUUAACAUUUUGAAAGUGUGGUUGUAUAUUCAGGCCUGCUGUGAAGUGAUAUCAAAUAUAACAAGCCUUACAUCAAUGUCAUUUUGGACUGUGAACAUUGUUUUAUGGAGUAUACUAAGCAUGUACACCUCAAGGUGAAAUACAAGUUUUUAUAGUUCUGUACAUUAUUAUCAUUAAAUAUCAUUAAAUAGCAAGAAUAAGCCUUAAUUGUAGCAUUUUGGGCUGUAAUCAAAUGAUCCACCAUUCUAACCCACCGUUAUAUGUAAAAAAUUUAUCCCGUUAGAGAAUGUCAGGGAAAUGUCUUAAACUGAUGUAUUCUUACUGAUUAAAGGACUGGGUCACCAUGUUUAGAUAAGAAAAGGAAUGUGGGAGAGGGGGAUCUGGUAUUUGUCUAAAGGGGCAUCCUUGACUGGUAUCAGCAGAUUAUAGGGUUACUCGUAAAUCUGUAUAACCCAUCAGUGUCUAUCUGUUGUUUGUCCAGAUGCUUUAAGUCCUCCUCAAGGGUUGAGAAGGUUACCCAGGUGGGGUAGGACAACACGUCCCUUGUGUGAAUCCUAGGAUAUGCGAUAGAACAAAGGGAAUGUGUUUUAUUGACAUAAGACAGAUGGGCAGUAUUUUACCACACCCCUUUUUCCCCUUUAAGUACUGACGAUUGUCCUGUAUUAAUUUAGCGAUUAUUCACUGUUACUCUGUAACCUGUGUACUCUCUCCUUGCAAGAAUAAAACUGUUUAUUGUGCAACUGAGUUUUCCUCUGUCUUACCUACCAUUUUCGUGAAUUGUUUGGACUUGAGAAAUUGCCAUCACAAGAACUUGAUGGGAAAUUAUUGCUUACAUUAUUAGA
Molecule: long non-coding RNA, 3445 nt
Organism: Esox lucius (northern pike)
Lineage: Eukaryota; Metazoa; Chordata; Actinopteri; Esociformes; Esocidae
Source: Ensembl